UGGGUGCCAUUGUCCUCUGCAUGGCUGCAGCAUUCUGAUGUCAUGGAGGCAGAAUGAGGAACAGUGGGGGGUCACCCCCUGUGUGGGUAAACCUGCGAGUAGGGAGCAGUGCGAGCAGGAUGUGCAAACAGCACAGGGCAGCAGUUUGGACUGGCAAUUCAUGCAGUGCAGUUGAGCAGGGAAAGCAAGGAAGAAUCCAUCUGCUUGGCCUGAUGCCCAGCUGUUUGCUGCCCAUCACCAUCACCAGGGAUGCAGAUGUGCCUACAUCUCCACUCUUCAGGCUUACUCCCACGAUUCUUAAAAAAACAC
Molecule: long non-coding RNA, 309 nt
Filed under: Gallus gallus (chicken)
Lineage: Eukaryota; Metazoa; Chordata; Aves; Galliformes; Phasianidae
Description: long non-coding RNA NONGGAT011974
Source: RNAcentral